UACGAAGGGGGCUAGCGUUGUUCAGAUUUACUGGGCGUAAAGCGCACGUAGGCGGAUAUUUAAGUCAGGGGUGAAAUCCCGGGGCUCAACCCCGGAACUGCCUCUGAUACUGGAUAUCUCGAGUCCGGAAGAGGUGAGUGGAAUUCCGAGUGUAGAGGUGAAAUUCGUAGAUAUUCGGAGGAACACCAGUGGCGAAGGCGGCUCACUGGCCCGGUACUGACGCUGAGGUGCGAAAGCGUGGGGAGCAAACAGG
RNAcentral lists this ribosomal RNA (253 nucleotides) under uncultured bacterium. Its description in RNAcentral is "partial 16S ribosomal RNA". It matches the Rfam family "Bacterial small subunit ribosomal RNA", at positions 524 to 776 of the family's 1533-position model. The record is from RNAcentral.